Molecule: ribosomal RNA, 258 nt
Filed under: uncultured bacterium
Lineage: Bacteria
Description: partial 16S ribosomal RNA
Rfam family: Bacterial small subunit ribosomal RNA
Source: RNAcentral
UACGGAGGGUGCAAGCGUUGUCCGGAUUUAUUGGGUUUAAAAGGGUGCGUAGGCGGUCUUGAUAAGUCCGUGGUGAAAAGCCAACAGCUCAACUGUUGAACUGCCAUGGAUACUGUCAGGCUUGAGUACAGACGAGGGUAGGCGGAAUGGAUCGUGUAGCGGUGAAAUGCAUAGAUACGAUCCAGAACUCCGAUUGCGAAGGCAGCUUACUAGGCUGUUAACUGACGCUGAGGCACGAAAGCGUGGGGAGCGAACAGG